CUUAGCGAACCGAAACAUCUGAGUAGCUAAAGGAAGGAAAAUCAACCGAGACCCCGUUAGUAGCGGCAAGCGAGAGCGGAACAAGGGUUUUCAUCAAAAGAAAUCCGAAGCGGUUUCAUUCGAUUUGUUGUGGAUUGGAUGAUGGAAAAACUAGCAAGCAGCAAGCGUAGUUAGAAAAGUUGCCGUAGCGCGCCCUACGGAGUUGUACAAAGUCAGCAACCGUUUUGGGGCGCAAGCAUAGGCAACACAGGACUGAUGACGGGGUGGGGCGCGCAGUGAACUGGUUUUCUAAAAAGAUUGGAAGAUCCGGCCAAAGAAGGUGAUAGCCCUGUUCAUUCGUUCCCAUGGUUUGAUCCUUCCCAGUAAAACACGGCGUGUUCAAAUGAUGAUCGCUUUUACGCGAGAAAGGGGGACCACCCUCUAAGCCUAAGUAUUCCUCAAUGACCGAUAGCGUACAAGUACCGUGAGGUACAGGUGAAAAGAACCCCAAUCGGGGAGUGCAAUAGAGAACCUGAGAUCCGAUGCGAACAAUCAGUCGAAGGAGCGGAGCGCGGGCGCACUCACUCUAACGGUG
Molecule: ribosomal RNA, 574 nt
Filed under: Triticum aestivum (bread wheat)
Lineage: Eukaryota; Viridiplantae; Streptophyta; Magnoliopsida; Poales; Poaceae
Also listed under: 1 other name
Description: rRNA LSU_rRNA_eukarya
Rfam family: Bacterial large subunit ribosomal RNA
Source: RNAcentral